UUAGUAAAAUAUUUUCCGCAGACAGCAGGCGCCGUUAUCGGCUUAAAUUUGCCCGCCGAGGAAACGCUUUAAAGGUGAUUUAGGGCUUUUCUUCGUUUGCGGAGAAAAGCCUUUUAUUUUUU
RNAcentral lists this small RNA (122 nucleotides) under human gut metagenome. RNAcentral describes it as "Ribosomal protein L10 leader". It matches the Rfam family "Ribosomal protein L10 leader". From Rfam's summary of the family: This family is a putative r-protein leader autoregulatory structure found in B. subtilis and other low-GC Gram-positive bacteria. The record is from RNAcentral.